Non-coding RNA from Lonchura striata (white-rumped munia), 480 nucleotides. The record is from RefSeq and is a predicted model, not a curated record. NCBI's taxonomy places the organism in Eukaryota, Metazoa, Chordata, Aves, Passeriformes, Estrildidae.
GCCGCGUUCCCGGCACGCCGGGCCCCGGAGAGGCGCCGCGGGGAGCGAGCGCGGGCCGGCAAGGCACAGAUGCGCUGCUGGGGCAGCCGCCGCCACAGCCCGGUGAUCUUUCAUGAUAUUCAUGAUAAUUCAGUACUUCUUUUUGUUUUUUCCAGGUGAUAAGUUAUGUUCAUGGUAUAUUAUGCUCGGUCUUAACAAACGUAGCCCCAGCCUGCACUUCCAUAAUGAGCUGGAGCAGCUGGAAGUGAUCCAAGUACAGUUGUUAUUCUAAUCCCACAUGAUUGUGUAUCAUGAGGAGAGGACAGCCGACGACUCUGUUAGGGUUUCAAGAAAACACAGUUAAGGAGGGCUGGUCUCUUGUUGCUGUGCUCGCCAGCUUUGAAUAAAUAGCCAGUGUGCUGUUUGGGGAGGCUUUGUAUCAUUUAGACAAAGUGAAAAAAGUUUGAAAUCAGUGGUUUUAAAUAAAAACUAAUUUUGCCA